RNAcentral lists this transfer RNA (75 nucleotides) under Leptocarpus canus. Its description in RNAcentral is "partial tRNA-Leu". It matches the Rfam family "tRNA", at positions 11 to 71 of the family's 71-position model. Rfam says of the family: Transfer RNA (tRNA) molecules are approximately 80 nucleotides in length. The record is from RNAcentral. Lineage: Eukaryota; Viridiplantae; Streptophyta; Magnoliopsida; Poales; Restionaceae.
CGAAAUCGGUAGACGCUACGGAUUUAAAAUCCGUCGACUUUCGAGAUCGUGAGGGUUCAAAUCCCUCUAUCCCCA